GACGAACGCUGGCGGCGUGCCUAACACAUGCAAGUCGAGCGAAGUUUUCAAAGUAGAUUUCUUCGGAUUGAAACUUUGAUUAUCUUAGCGGCGGACGGGUGAGUAACGCGUGAGAAACCUGCCUUUCACAAAGGGAUAGCCUCGGGAAACUGGGAUUAAUACCUUAUGAUACUGAUUUUUCGCAUGGAAGAUUAGUCAAAGCGCAAAGCGGUGAAAGAUGGUCUCGCGUCCCAUUAGUUAGUUGGUGAGGUAACGGCUCACCAAGACCGCGAUGGGUAGCCGGCCUGAGAGGGUGAACGGCCACACUGGAACUGAGACACGGUCCAGACUCCUACGGGAGGCAGCAGUGGGGAAUAUUGCACAAAUGGAGGAAACUCUGAUGCAGCGACGCCGCGUGAACGAUGAAGGCUUUCGGGUCGUAAAGUUCUGUCCUAAGGGACGAGUAAUAGACGGUACCGUUAGGAGGAAGCCCCGGCCUAACUACGUG
This 487-nucleotide ribosomal RNA is filed under the name uncultured bacterium. RNAcentral describes it as "bacterial SSU rRNA". It matches the Rfam family "Bacterial small subunit ribosomal RNA", at positions 28 to 507 of the family's 1533-position model. The record is from RNAcentral.